UAUACUACUACACGGAUAACUGUAGUAAUUCUAGAGCUAACACGUGCCUCGAUGCCCCGAUCCGCAAGGUGAGGGGUGCAAUUGUUAGAUCGCAAACCAAACGGCUUCGGUCGUAGGUUGUGGUGACUCUGGAUAAUUUUGUAUGAUCGCAGCUGGCCUUGUUGUCGGCGACGGAUCCAUCAAGUAUCUGCCCUAUCAACUUUCGAUGGUAGGUGACAUGCCUACCAUGGUUAUGACGGGUAACGGGGAAUCAGGGUUCGAUUCCGGAGAGGGAGCCUGAGAAACGGCUACCACAUCCAAGGAAGGCAGCAGGCGCGCAAAUUACCCACUCUCUGAACGAGGAGGUAGUGAAGACAAAUAUCGAUACAGAACUCAUUAGAGGCUCUGUAAUCGAAAUGAGUGCAUUUUAAAUCCUACAACAAGGAUCUAUUGGAGGGCAAGUCUGGUGCCAGCAGCCGCGGUAACUCCAGCUCCAAUGGCAUAUAUUAAAGUUGUUGCAGUUAAAAAGCUCGUAGUUGGAUCUGGGCUGUGUCGCGAAUGCUGGUUGUGCUGAGCAUGCAUUCGUGUGUGCUUGCCGACUGGUAUAUUCGGACCGGCCUCAUAGCUGUGUCCUUUUGCCUUCACGGGUGAUUGGAUGAUGGUGAAUGUCUGUGGCGGCUCCUUUCGGGGGGCUGUCGCGGUUUGUCAUUAUGUUCUGUUGAUGCCCUUAACCGGGUGUCCGGAGCUCACAGCACGUUUACUUUGAACAAAUUUGAGUGCUCAAAGCAGGCCAUUGUUGCCUGAAAAUUCUUGCAUGGAAUAAUGAAAUAGGACUUCGGUCCUAUUUUGUUGGUUUGAUAGAACCGAAGUAAUGAUAAAGAGAGACAGACGGGGGCAUUUGUAUGGCGGCGCUAGAGGUGAAAUUCGUGGACCGUCGCCAGACAACCUAAAGCGAAAGCAUCUGCCAAGUAUGUUUUCAUUUACCAGGAGCGAAAGUCAGAGGUUCGAAGACGAUUAGAUACCGUCCUAGUUCUGACCAUAAACGAUGCCAACUGACGAUCCGUGGUUGCUCUUUAAUGAGGCCACGGGCAGUCUCUGGGAAACCUGUAAGUCUAUGGGUUCCGGGGAAAGUAUGGUUGCAAAACUGAAACUUAAAGGAAUUGACGGAAGGGCACCACCAGGAGUGGAGCUUGCGGCUUAAUUUGACUCAACACGGGAAAACUCACCCGAACCGGACACUUAGAGGAUUGACGGAUUGAUUGCUCUUUCUUGAUUGAGUGGCUAGUGGUGCAUGGCCGUUCUUAGUUCGUGGUACGAGCUGUCUGGUUAAUUCCGAUAACGAACGAGACUUUAACCUGCUAAAUAGUACGGUUGCAAUAUUUAUGCGGACCACCGUCUUGAUGCUCCGGUAUUGAGGCGGUACCGCAUAGGCAGGUGAAACUUCUUAGAGGAACUGGGGCUCGAAAAGGCCCACGAGAAAGAGCAAUAACAGGUCUGUGAUGCCCUAAGAUGUCCGGGGCCGCACGCGUGCUACAAUGACGAUGUCCCUGAGCAUGAUUAACUUGUCUGUAAAGGCCGGUGAAACUGUUCAAUUAUCGUCGUGCCUGGGAUUGGGGUUUGUAAUUAUUCCCCAUGAACCAGGAAUUCCUAGUAAGCACAAGUCACUAGCUUGUGCUGAUUACGUCCCUGCCCUUUGUACACACCGCCCGUCGCUACUACCGAUUGAAUGGUUUAGCAAGGCCAUUGGAUUGAAUGCUUGCGGUUCACGCUGCU
Molecule: ribosomal RNA, 1752 nt
Filed under: Haliotrema epinepheli
Lineage: Eukaryota; Metazoa; Platyhelminthes; Monogenea; Dactylogyridea; Ancyrocephalidae
Description: SSU rRNA
Rfam family: Eukaryotic small subunit ribosomal RNA
Source: RNAcentral